UGAUCAGCCACACUGGAACUGAGACACGGUCCAGACUCCUACGGGAGGCAGCAGUGGGGAAUAUUGCACAAUGGGCGCAAGCCUGAUGCAGCCAUGCCGCGUGUACGAAGAAGGCCCUUUCGGGUUGUAAAGCACUUUCAGUCGUGAGGAAGGUAGUGUAGUUAAUAGCUGUCAUUAUUUGACGUUAGCGACAGAAGAAGCAUCGGCUAACUCCGUGCCAGCAGCUGCGGUAAUACGGAGGGUGCGAGCGUUAAUCGGAAUUACUGGGCGUAAAGCGCAUGCAGGUGGUUUGUUAAGUCAGAUGUGAAAGCCCGGGGCUCAACCUCGGAAUAGCAUUUGAAACUGGCAGACUAGAGUACUGUAGAGGGGGGUAGAAUUUCAGGUGUAGCGGUGAAAUGCGUAGAGAUCUGAAGGAAUACCGGUGGCGAAGGCGGCCCCCUGGACAGAUACUGACACUCAGAUGCGAAAGCGUGGGGAGCAAACAGGAUUAGAUACCCUGGUAGUCCACGCCGUAAACGAUGUCUACUUGGAGGUUGUGGCCUUGAGCCGUGGCUUUCGGAGCUAACGCGUUAAGUAGACUGCCUGGGGAGUACGGUCGCAAGAUUAAAACUCAAAUGAAUUGACGGGGGCCCGCACAAGCGGUGGAGCAUGUGGUUUAAUUCGAUGCAACGCGAAGAACCUUACCUACUCUUGACAUCCAGAGAACUUUCCAGCGAUGGAUUGGUGCCUUCGGGAACUAUGAGACAGGUGCUGCAUGGCUGUCGUCAGCUCGUGUUGUGAAAUGUUGGGUUAAGUCCCGCAACGAGCGCAACCCUUAUCCUUGUUUGCCAGCGAGUAAUGUCGGGAACUCCAGGGAGACUGCCGGUGAUAAACCGGAGGAAGGUGGGGACAACGUCAAGUCAUCAUGGCCCUUACGAGUAGGGCUACACACGUGCUACAAUGGCGCAUACAGAGGGCGGCCAACUUGCGAAAGUGAGCGAAUCCCAAAACGUGCGUAGUAGUCCGGAUUGGAGUCUGCAACUCGACUCCAUGAAGUCGGAAUCGCUAGUAAUCGUGGAUCAGAAUGCCACGGUGAAUACGUUCCCGGGCCUUGUACACACCGCCCGUCACACCAUGGGAGUGGGCUGCAAAAGAAGUAGGUAGUUUAACCUUCGGGGGGACGUUCGUCUUAGAGGUUUUACG
Molecule: ribosomal RNA, 1182 nt
Filed under: Vibrio harveyi
Lineage: Bacteria; Pseudomonadati; Pseudomonadota; Gammaproteobacteria; Vibrionales; Vibrionaceae
Description: bacterial SSU rRNA
Rfam family: Bacterial small subunit ribosomal RNA
Source: RNAcentral